ACGAAAGUCUGACCGAGCAACGCCGCGUGAGUGAAGAAGGUUUUCGGAUCGUAAAGCUCUGUUGUAAGUCAAGAACGUGUGUGAGAGUGGAAAGUUCACACAGUGACGGUAGCUUACCAGAAAGGGACGGCUAACUACGUGCCAGCAGCCGCGGUAAUACGUAGGUCCCGAGCGUUGUCCGGAUUUAUUGGGCGUAAAGGGAGCGCAGGCGGUCAGGAAAGUCUGGAGUAAAAGGCUAUGGCUCAACCAUAGUGUGCUCUGGAAACUGUCUGACUUGAGUGCAGAAGGGGAGAGUGGAAUUCCAUGUGUAGCGGUGAAAUGCGUAGAUAUAUGGAGGAACACCAGUGGCGAAAGCGGCUCUCUGGUCUGUCACUGACGCUGAGGCUCGAAAGCGUGGGUAGCGAACAGGAUUAGAUACCCUGGCAGUCCACGCCGUAAACGAUGAGUGCUAGGUGUUAGGCCCUUUCCGGGGCUUAGUGCCGGAGCUAACGCAAUAAGCACUCCGCCUGGGGAGUACGACCGCAAGGUUGAAACUCAAAGGAAUUGACGGGGGCCCGCACAAGCGGUGGAGCAUGUGGUUUAAUUCGAAGC
This 591-nucleotide ribosomal RNA is filed under the name Streptococcus mutans. Its description in RNAcentral is "bacterial SSU rRNA". It matches the Rfam family "Bacterial small subunit ribosomal RNA", at positions 375 to 957 of the family's 1533-position model. Lineage: Bacteria; Bacillati; Bacillota; Bacilli; Lactobacillales; Streptococcaceae. The record is from RNAcentral.